Silurus meridionalis is the source of this 6721-nucleotide long non-coding RNA. RefSeq lists it as uncharacterized. Lineage: Eukaryota; Metazoa; Chordata; Actinopteri; Siluriformes; Siluridae. The record is from RefSeq and is a predicted model, not a curated record. The transcript is spliced from 4 exons.
UUGGUCAGUAUUAUACAAUUAAGAUACCUUUUUCUCAAAACAAAAGGAAGUUUAUGGUCAGGGCACAUGAACAACUGUCCCCAGUGUAGUAGUGAGACUUGUUCAAAGGGGGCAAGAAUAGUAAUACAGGAAAGCAGCACUUGCAUGAUUACAGCUACUGGCCUUCUCCUAUAAGGCUCUUCCAUUCCAGAGACUCAGAUAUUACAUUUUUUGCUAUGGGCCUUCAAAUGACUGGAAAAUGGAGGGAACUUUUUCUGCAUUUUUUUAAUCCAUUCUAGAGUCUCUCUAAUAAUAAUAAUAAGUUGUUUGGAUGGUUUUGGCAUUGAAAAUUACUUAUUACCAUAAUAAAGUAUGUAUAACACCUUGUUACAUAGCGUUAGCUAAUUGAGUAAAAAAGGAAAUAGCUAUUGAACAGGAAUGUAACAGUGACUUAGCAGUUAAGGUUAUGAUAGGAUGACUGCACAGUAAAUUCAAAUUAUAGAACUGUCCAAAAGACACUAUAAGCACAUGAUCAACACUUUUAUACUUUAUAUACUGUAAAGUUUGGCCAUAUGUGGGCCAAAAUUAACCUCACUUUUAAGUCACCCUUAACUUGUGAUUUAAGGAAACUCUUGCCUGCGGUUUACAUGGGUUGAUUCAUCUACCCAAAUCUAGCAAAAAACCUAGUGUUCAGAAGUGUCUUUGCAUGGACCAUGAUAGUGCAGCUUGUCUGUGUGUACAGUACCUAGGAAAUAGUUUUACACAAUGCUAUAAUGAAAGAAUGGAAGUAUGGCCCAUCAGAGUAGCAUUUUAGACUGUAAAAGUGUUGAUGUGGACUCUCAAAAAGGUUGUUUGUGGCUCUGUGGACUGACAAUGGUGCAAAGGACUAUCUGACUGUAAUAUGUUUGUAUGUACCAUGAAGCUGGAACAGUGAAUAGUCAGAGUAAUGUUUUAUGCUAUCAAAAUAUCACUGUGGACUGUGAGAGUACAAUUCAUAGACCAUUAGAGUAACACUGUGAACUAUCAGAGUGGUUUUGUGGCGCAUCAGUCCGACAAUAGAGACUAUCAAAUUGGCAGUUUGGGCAAUGUGAGUACAGUUUCAGACCUGUGAUGGUUCUGUGAAUCAUUAGAGCAAUAUGGACCAUAACAGUGGUAGUAGGACCAUGGGAAUGGUUUUAGGGAGCAUCAGUCAAGUGUAGUGGAUUGGAUUACUAUAUCAGAUUGGAGAUACGAUAUAGAAUUGGUAAAGAGGCCAGUCAGGAUAAGAUUUGGACCAUUUCAGUUGUGCAGUGGACCAAGAGAAGGGGAAAAUGCACCAUGAGAGUGGUAACAGGAUGUACUCGGACCCAUUGGUGUAUUAUUGUGGAUCACCGAAUAGAUGUUGCAGAGCACCAGGGUGAAGAUACAAACCAUGGGCUUGUGAAUAUCAGAGUUGCAGUGUCGACUAUGAAAUUGGUAAUAUAGACUAUUACAGUGCCACUGAAGGCAGUGUAACAUUUUAGACAAUCUAAAAAUAAAUGCAAAGAAACAAAUAUUUUAAAUGUGUUAAAAAACUAAUAUUAGACAAAUAUUCUUAGACAUUUAAUUCAAAGACAGGUUCAAAUUGUUGUGACCAUGUAGUGUUGGGUAUAGUAUGGCAGUCGAUGGCACAUUUCCCAAUUGCACGAAAAUGCCAUAGCCACCUAAGGGAGUCCAAAGCAGCAAAACUGGUUGUGAUUUCAGAAACGGAGGGGGUCGUGCUCACUCUCUCCCCUAACAAUCAGAACCGAUAAUAGAGGUAUCUAUGUGAAUAAGAUAGAUAGUGUUGCAUGAGCAGCAUUUUAAAAAUAUGGGGUCAGAUUUGAUAGCCUUUGCUCUCCCUGGUUGGUAAGUGUCUUGUAACAAGACUAAAUUAGGUAGAAGAUCAGGAAUAAUCUACGGUAAGGAAACUAACAUUGGGGUGAACAGGGAGAACUUGUCUCUACUUGUUAUUUUGACCUUAAUUAAACUUUGUAAAAGGGAUUUUAAUUAUUGUAGGGUGAACAAGCUCACUGAAUAUCAGAUAUCGUGCUUUAUAGGUCAUAGUGUGUAUGAAUCUGCAUGCAGGUCAUGCUAGUAAUCUGGGACAAAAUAAUUCAUAGACAUAGAAGCAAAGUGAGCAUUGGCAUGCAACAAAUGAUGAAUCCAGCAGGGGCUUCUGCAGGCUCGAGUUGCUGCUGUGGCACUGUGGCAUCGCCUGCGGCUGGCAACCUCCAGCUGAGGCCAUGCUCAGACGUCUGCCUCAUUAACUCAUAAAGGGCAGACAGGAGCAAAGCCAAUUAAACCUGCUGCGCUUUGGGAGGUAUAGACCCAACAAGCUGGCGGAUGCCACUCUGACAUCAACAUGCCAUUUGCCAUCACAUGGAAAUGUCAUAUCAUUAAAUAAUAAGUCUAACCAACGAGGCCAGAUGCACCUAGACACAUUUACAUGCAUUAAGUUCCUUACUCUUUUCACAAAAAUCUAUCAAUAUUUAUCAGCGUGUACUGCUAAUAGAGAGUUUAUAUCCUUUUACUGUAUAUCAAUAUGCAGUUAUGUUUAUUCAUGUGGAACAUCAGAUGAACAAGUUCAUGUUAUCAGGUGUUUAAACAGCUUAAUAACAUGUAUUUACAGAAUGUGGCAGAUGUCCUUAUUUUGAGCAAUUUACAAUUAUCUCAUUUCUAUUUAAACUGAGCAUAUUGAGGGUUGUCAGCCUUGCUCAAGGCCCAGCAGUGAACAUCAUUGAACUCACCUUUCAAUACAAAAUUUGAUCCAAAAUGUAUCUCUCAAACGACUUCAAGAAUAAAGAAGGGUACCUGAAGGUAGUCACUUAUAUAUAUAUAUAUAUAUAUAUAUAUAUGAGGGUAUAAUGUAUGUAUUUUCAUAUGUCUUUUCAGGACAUUUCUCACUCUUUUUAUGCUGUUGUCUAUGUCUGCCUCUCUGACAUGCCUUAUAAAACACCAAUGUCUUUGCAACUCUGGAUGUCCCAAUGAAUUGACCUUUCCCUUUGAGGAGAAACCUGCCCUAGAGAAGACCCAUCUGGAAUAAAAAGGCACCCUGAAACCAUAUUUGAAAAGGUAGGCGACACACACUAAUUCAGCUGGAAACAUGAUGUGAAAGAACACAGGAUUCAUCAGACCAGUCCACCUUUUUUCCAUUGUUCUAUGAUCCAGUUGCAGUGGUGGUGGGAGACUCCAUAUUAGACUCUGCAAACUCUGAUCUAUCAGUGAUCACAAAGACAACCUCUGCUGUGAAACCUUGAAGAAUGAAAACGCCUCAAAGAUUUUCUGCCAAAAUCCAGAACCAAACAUCCAACAGAAACCAAUAUAACAUCUGUACAGUAUGUGCUUCUACAUCUUGGCAGUACAAUAUGCAUAUCAACCGAGGACAAUAACACAAGUUUAUGGACUUUCAUGAUCGAUACGCAUUAUCAAGCAUGACUGGAAUCCCAUGAAGGGCAUUUUGUCUGAAGUUAUUCAGAUGAAAGGGCAUGGCACUGAAACAAGGAUCAACUGAAGCAGUAUCCUUUUAGUGUGGACCUGCAGCUGGGUACAACCUUCUAGCCUUAAAAUGGUUUUAAACCUAUUUUAGUUUUCUCAAAAGUGUCUCCCAGUGGGACUAGGUGAUAAAAGCAUUGCUCCCCAUUGCUCUGAGGGCUUUAUGCCACUUCUUCUCAUCUUUGCCUUAUGAACUACCCACAAAAGACCUACAGAACUGCACACUGGGAGAUUCAAGUGCUGAGAAACAUUUCCUUCUGUUUCCUGCUGAUUGCUGACUGUUGUUUCUACAGGUUCUUGCAUACUGCUGUGCAGGGAAAUGUUUUCUAUUUAGUAGCGAGCAUGGUGUCGUUGCAAGUUGCACUGCAAGGUCCCUGGUUCGAUCCAGAGCAUGGGAUACACUGGGUAUGGAAUUGUUAUGCAUGUUCUGUGUCGUCUGGGUUCCAAAUUCUUUUUGGCAUUAAGUGUUUCCCAAACUGGUUUCAAAUCUACCAUGAUGCCACCUUAGUAUUUCCUAAAGAUGCAUAGAAAAAAAAGUUUUUUAAAUAAAUGAUGUUAAUUAAGGGGAAUUGUUUAUUUAUUUAUUUAUAUAUAUAUAUUUUUUACAUAACCAAAUUAUUCGGCUGAUCCUUUUAUCCAAAGCAACUUACAACUGAAAGAUUGUACAUCUGAGAAGUUUGAAUUUAAAUGUCUAGCUCAACCUUUCAAAAAUAGUAUCUUGGUAGUGGAAUUUGAGUUCAGGAUCUUCCUAUCAGCAACCACUGGCAUUAUUGUAACUCUUUCCAAAACAAUAUUCAAUCCAUCAUUAUGUAAAUAUGUCAUGAUUGUUGAUUCCUCUUUCCAUUCAUACCAUGUUUAACAACUUUACACAUUUCUUUCGGCUUCUCCUAUUAGGGGUCACCACAGCGGAUCCUCCGCAUGUUUGAUUUGGCACAUGUUUUUACGCUGGAUGCCCUUCCUAACACAACCCUCCAGAAUUUAUACGGGCUUGGGGCCGCCACUAAAAGUGGCUGGGGUUGGUUCCCUGACCGGGGAUCGAACCCGGGCCGCAGCGUUACACUAAUGGUUUUUUUACUUUUCUUUUUUUAACUUAUAUAGUGUAUUGGUUGAGGUCGUUCCAACGAUAAAAAAAAAGGCUGUUUGGUUUGCAAAGAGGUCAAAGCCCAAGGUCAAGAAAAGUUCUCCUGCUUUCUCACAGUUUGAGCUUAAAAUAACUAGAUUCACUAGACUCAAAGGCUCAGUGUGUACCUUCUGACUUCUAAAAGAAGGAAGAGCUAUAGAGUUUUUUCCAAACUUUUAAGGAUCAUUAAGGUUCUCAUAAGUGAAUAUCGUUCAGUGGGUUCAGGUCCCUGUUACAGCAAGGGGCAGAAUCUAUUUUACUGUAAUUAGGGCUUGUUUUAAUCAAAUUGCACAACAGAUUUUAAUUUGAAUACUCCACUAAGUAUAAAAGUCAGUUUAAACUGUCAAAUUCAUAUUAAUUAAUUAAUCAAUUCAUUCAUUUAUUCAUUUAUACAUACAUUCUUCAGUAGUCGUUUAAUCCUGCUAUGAGUUAAGACAGCUCUAAAGCCUUACAUAUGCACACAUUCCCUAAUUAAUUCACACUUCAGGGCAUGUUGUAUACAAUGUGUGAAAGACUAAAUGACAAAUGGGAUGACAAAACUGAAAAUGGAAAAGCAAAUUCUUGACAGUUUAGGACAAGUGCAAAAAUAAACAUUUUUUGAUGACUCAAGAGUGAUACAGAAAGUGCUUCAGGAGAGGAAAUAAUCUACUAUUUGGAAGCAAGUUAAAUAUCGCUGCUGCCUGAGAAGAAGAAGAAUAUCUAACAUAACAGUAACAAGUACCCAGUUCUUAAAAAGAAGUGCUGGAAAAAAAUUGCACAAAAGAUUAUAUAAAUAAACUUGCAUAACAGUAAAAUAAUGCCAUUCAAAUGACAGUCAACCGCUUGAUAUAACGAGGAAACAUUUGCAAUGAAAAGUAUAUGUAUAUAGUAUACACAAAGAGAAAGCUUUAGAAAGCUAUUUUCAGGUGCACGCGAGUUGUGUCCUCAGGCAUUUCUUGAAAGUAUUGAGCAAAUUUGCAUAACUAACAAAGUGACAAGGAAGUGGUGUUAGACUGACAAUGGCAAGUCAAACUCUAUUAAAUGACACAAAGAGAGAAGCAGAUGCAAAAAUUAAUCCAUUACUUGUCAGUAACAAGUGUACUGAUCAGUAUCAAGUGAAUUUAUCAUGAGCAUAGUCCAAAUAAUUUUAAUAAGAGUCAAGCUGUGCAUUUCUUACACAGGUCCUCCAGUGGCGUCCUACCUAAACCAAUCCACCUCUUAAAACAAUCAUACAUCAUUUCUAGCAGAAGCCUUAAUAUUAACCUCAGAAUUUAACCACAUGUUUUCUGUGCAUUUUUGUUCAUUUUUUCUGUGCAUUACGGCUUUGUUGGGAGGUUUGAAAUUAAAGCAAAUUGUAUGCUUUUGUGCAAAUUCUAUGGGAAAGAAAAACACAAAAGUACGGAUGGUUCAUGAAAAAGCUUAACGACUGCUUUGGACCAUUUUUGCUGACCUUUCCUCAGAAUGUCCAGCUUUUUUUGUAAAUGUCCUUGUAAGUGUGUCUGCAACCAAAUCAUUUUUUUGUAGGACAAAAAAUCCACAUAAAUAUUUGUUGACUUUUUUUUAAGUCUACAGUCUCCUGCCUCAAUGACUAUUUUCCUGUCACACUUACUGUAAACCCAUCAUAAUGAAGUGCUUCAGGAGGCUCAUCUUGAAGCACUUCAAGACCCAGCUUCCACCUUCACUGGACCCUAUGCAGUUUGCAUAUCGUCCAAAUUGUUCCACGGACAUCUCGUCCUCACCCACCUGGAAAACAAGGACCCAUACUUACGAAUGCUGUUCAUAGACUUCAGUUCAGCAUUCAAAAUAAUUAUUCCUGAUUUAGAAGCUGAGUCUACUGCCCCUGAACACCUCCCUCUGCAACUGGAUCCUGUACUUUCUAACUGGAAGACCUAAGACAGUCUGGAUUGGGAACAACAGCACCACCACACUAAGCACUGGGGCCCCUCAGGGUGGUGUGCUUAGCCCAUUGCUGUUCACACUGCUGACUCAUGACUGUGUAGCAAUACACAACUUGAAUAACACCAUCAAGUUUGCCGAUGAUACAACUGUUGUGGGUCUCAUCAGCAAGAACUUCACCUGCUCCAUCACUGAGAAAGCCCAGCAGCAUCUCUACUUCCUGAGAAGGCUGGGGAAAGUCCAUUUACAUUUACA